This 192-nucleotide ribosomal RNA is filed under the name Triticum aestivum (bread wheat). Its description in RNAcentral is "partial small subunit ribosomal RNA". Lineage: Eukaryota; Viridiplantae; Streptophyta; Magnoliopsida; Poales; Poaceae. The record is from RNAcentral.
GGAGACCCUCAGACAGUUCAAGAUCUUGUAAGUCUAGUGCAGGCCCAUUCCUCUAGUAUCGUUUUUCUUUGUGAAACUAGACAGUCUAAGAAUAAAAUGAAGAGAUAUCAUGCUUGGUUAAGGUUACGAGGUUUUGAUGCUUCUGAUAGUGUGAAUCGUAGUGGUGGUCUUGCUUUGUAUUGGCAUGAGUAA